UCGCUCCUACCGAUUGAGUGGUCCGGUGAAUCUUUCGGACUGCAACGUAGUCUCGUGCUGCGUAGCGGAAAGUCAGGUAAAUCUUAUCACUUAGAGGAAGGUG
RNAcentral lists this ribosomal RNA (103 nucleotides) under uncultured eukaryote. RNAcentral's name for it is "partial small subunit ribosomal RNA". The record is from RNAcentral.